Molecule: ribosomal RNA, 406 nt
Filed under: uncultured bacterium
Lineage: Bacteria
Description: partial 16S ribosomal RNA
Rfam family: Bacterial small subunit ribosomal RNA
Source: RNAcentral
AUUGAACGCUGGCGGCAGGCCUAACACAUGCAAGUCGAGCGAGCGGCGGACGGGUGAGUAAUGUCUGGGAAACUGCCUGAUGGAGGGGGAUAACUGCUGGAAACGGUAGCUAAUACCGCAAACCAUCAGAUCGGCCCAGGUGGGAUUAGCUAGUCGGUGGGGUAAUGGCUCACCAAGGCGACGAUCCCUAGCUGGUCUGAGAGGAUGACCAGCCACACUGGAACUGAGACACGGCCCAGACUCCUACGGGAGGCAGCAGUGGGGAAUAUUGCACAAUGGGCGCAAGCCUGAUGCAGCCAUGCCGCGUGUGUGAAGAAGGCCUUCGGGUCGUAAAGCACUGUCAGCGGGGAGGCGUUACUCGCAGAAGAAGCACCGGCUAACUCCGUGCCAGCAGCCGCGGUAAUUC